Molecule: ribosomal RNA, 497 nt
Filed under: uncultured bacterium
Lineage: Bacteria
Description: partial 16S ribosomal RNA
Rfam family: Bacterial small subunit ribosomal RNA
Source: RNAcentral
GAUGAACGCUGGCGGCGUGCCUAAUACAUGCAAGUCGAGCGAACAGACGAGGAGCUUGCUCCUCUGACGUUAGCGGCGGACGGGUGAGUAACACGUGGAUAACCUACCUAUAAGACUGGGAUAACUUCGGGAAACCGGAGCUAAUACCGGAUAAUAUAUUGAACCGCAUGGUUCAAUAGUGAAAGACGGUUUUGCUUUCACUUAUAGAUGGCUCCGCGCCGCAUUAGCUAGUUGGUAAGGUAACGGCCUACCAAGGCAACGAUGCGUAGCCGACCUGAGGGGGUGAUCGGCCACACUGGAACUAAAAACCGGCCCAGACUCCUACGGGAGGAGGAGGAGGGGAAUCUUCCGCAAUGGGGGAAGUCCUGACGGAGCAACGCCGCGUGGGUGAUGAAGGUCUUCGGAUCGUAAAACUCUGUUAUUAGGGAAGAACAAAUGUGUAAGUAACUAUGCACGUCUUGACGGUACCUAAUCAGAAAGCCACGGCUAACUACGUG